AGGAAUCAAAUGGUUUGUGGUAGUGUCAGAAUUUGCACCUAAGCAUGUUGAUUAAAGUUAGAUUAGUGAUGUUUAGAGUUCAUUACUUUUCUUUUGUGGGGUACAAAUUCACAGUCCAAAAUUGCUUUGAAAAAAGUGUGUACUUUUUACUAUAUUAUUUCUUUGGCAUUUCAUUAUUAAACAUAAUUAUACUAAUUGUUUCUUUGAUAUGUAUGUGUACUAAAUUAUUGGCUAACUGGUAUAUUGACUGACACCUUGAUGUCUUGACAGUUUGGGUUUUGGUCCCUUGUAUUAAAGAACUAAUUUAUGGUCCCUUGUUAUCUUUUGAAGUGAUCAUCUUGAUCGUCUUGUAUUUUAGGUUAACCACUGAUGUUAUAGCACCAUCCCCAUGGAAGAUUCACGUGGAAGGAUGGGAGAGGGCCAAUAAAUCCUAAGGGAUUGUAAUAUUACAAUAAUCUCAUCAAUGAACUAACAAGCCGAGGUUCUUUUGCAAACUAGUUUUACCUUAAAAAGUUCAAUUGGAGUUGUCAGCUGCAGAUUGGGAUCUACCACAAGCACUUGAAGACGAAUAUGGAGGAUGAGUUAGUCGAAGAAUUAUGUAUGGUUUGUAAACUAUAAGAUAUAGUUUGUUUUAUUUUAUCUUGUCUUAGAUAGGAGAUCAAAUUAAACAAACUAUAUCUAACACAUU
Trifolium pratense (red clover) is the source of this 688-nucleotide long non-coding RNA. RefSeq lists it as uncharacterized. The transcript is spliced from 2 exons. The record is from RefSeq and is a predicted model, not a curated record. NCBI's taxonomy places the organism in Eukaryota, Viridiplantae, Streptophyta, Magnoliopsida, Fabales, Fabaceae.